UGGGGAAUAUUGGACAAUGGGCGCAAGCCUGAUCCAGCCAUGCCGCGUGGGUGAAGAAGGCCCUAGGGUUGUAGACCCCUUUCAGCGGGGAAGAUAAUGACGGUACCCGCAGAAGAAGCUCCGGCUAACUCCGUGCCAGCAGCCGCGGUAAUACGGAGGGAGCUAGCGUUGUUCGGAAUUACUGGGCGUAAAGCGCGCGUAGGCGGACUUUCAAGUCAGGGGUGAAAUCCCGAGGCUCAACCUCGGAACUGCCUUUGAUACUGCCGAGCUAGAGUAUGGUAGAGGGAAGUGGAAUUUCCGGUGUAGCGGUGAAAUGCGUAGAUAUCGGAAGGAACACCAGUGGCGAAGGCGACUUCCUGGGCCAAUACUGACGCUGAGGUGCGAAAGCGUGGGGAGCAAACAGGAUUAGAUAC
RNAcentral lists this ribosomal RNA (413 nucleotides) under uncultured prokaryote. RNAcentral describes it as "bacterial SSU rRNA". It matches the Rfam family "Bacterial small subunit ribosomal RNA", at positions 355 to 785 of the family's 1533-position model. The record is from RNAcentral.